UACGAAAGGGGCUAGCGUUGUUCGGAUUUACUGGGCGUAAAGCGCACGUAGGCGGUCUUGUAAGAUGGGGGUGAAAUCCCCGGGCUCAACCCGGGAACUGCCUUCAUGACUGCAAAGCUAGAGGAUGCGAGAGGUUGGCGGAAUUCCGAGUGUAGAGGUGAAAUUCGUAGAUAUUCGGAAGAACACCAGUGGCGAAGGCGGCCAACUGGCGCAUUUCUGACGCUGAGGUGCGAAAGCGUGGGGAGCAAACAGG
Molecule: ribosomal RNA, 253 nt
Filed under: uncultured bacterium
Lineage: Bacteria
Description: partial 16S ribosomal RNA
Rfam family: Bacterial small subunit ribosomal RNA
Source: RNAcentral